RNAcentral lists this ribosomal RNA (465 nucleotides) under uncultured bacterium. RNAcentral's name for it is "partial 16S ribosomal RNA". It matches the Rfam family "Bacterial small subunit ribosomal RNA", at positions 339 to 795 of the family's 1533-position model. The record is from RNAcentral.
CUAUGGGGGGCAGCAGUGGGGAAUAUUGGACAAUGGGGGAAACCCUGAUCCAGCAAUGCCGCGUGUGUGAAGAAGGCCUGCGGGUUGUAAAGCACUUUCGGUUGGGAGGACUGCUUCUAGCACUAAUAUUGUUGGAAGUUGACGUUACCUUCAGAAGAAGCACCGGCUAACUCCGUGCCAGCAGCCGCGGUAAUACGGAGGGUGCAAGCGUUUAUCGGAAUUACUGGGCGUAAAGCGCGCGUAGGCGGCUAGAUCAGUCGGGUGUGAAAGCCCCGGGCUUAACCUGGGAACUGCAUCCGAUACUGUCUAGCUUGAGUACAGGAGAGGAGAGUGGAAUUCCACAUGUAGCGGUGAAAUGCGUAGAUAUGUGGAGGAACACCAAUGGCGAAGGCAGCUCUCUGGCCUGAUACUGACGCUGAGGUGCGAAAGCGUGGGGAGCAAACAGGAUUAGAUACCCCCGUAGUC